Oryzias melastigma (Indian medaka) is the source of this 2113-nucleotide long non-coding RNA. RefSeq lists it as uncharacterized. NCBI's taxonomy places the organism in Eukaryota, Metazoa, Chordata, Actinopteri, Beloniformes, Adrianichthyidae. The transcript has 2 exons. The record is from RefSeq and is a predicted model, not a curated record.
CUGCUGAAGAAAUCUUCAGACACUGUGAAGGAACCAUCGUCCAGUACGAGCAGGAGCUCUGUCGUCAGCGCAGACUGCUGGAUAUCACAUUGAAGCCAGAACUCAAGCUGGACUCUAUAGUCCUCCCUCAGCAUUAUGUGAGUGAAAAGGAGGAUCUCAGCUACCAUCAGAAAAACUCCAGAGUGACAAAGAAAGAACCAGGACCUCCACAGAUAAAAGUGGAAAAAGAGGAACCAGAACUUCCACAGACGGAAGAAGAAUGGGAGGAACCAGAACCUUCACAGAUGAAGGAGGAGCAAGAAGAACUCUGUAUCAGUCAAGAUGAAGAUUAUCUUCAAUUUAAGCAAGAGACUAAUACAUUUAUGGAUACGUUCACCUAUGAGGAUAAUGAGCACAAUGUUUUAGAUCUAAAAAAUCAGCAGGGCUUUAAUGGAAGGGGUGUUCUAGCUGAAGAUGGAAACCAGCAUGUCCAAAAUGUGGACGCAGUAAGUCAGAGUGACUCUGAUGUUGGCAAAAUAUCCAGUAUCUCAACUUUGAUUAAGAAAAGCAUCCAAUCCUUUAAAGAAAAGAGACUUUCCUUUAUGAACUCUUGUAAAAGCUCAAGAACUGUUAGUAAUAUGUAUGUCUACAAGAGAACGGAGUCUGAUGAAAGAUCUUGCGUAUGUAAAGAAUGUGGUAAAAGUUUCAAAUAUUUGUCUAAGUUAAGACUUCACAUGAGAGUUCACACGGGAGAGAAGCCUUUUUUCUGUAAAUUGUGCGAUACACGUUUUGGUCAAACAUCGAGUCUCAAAAGACACAUGAUGAUUCACACAGGAGAAAAGCCCUUUUCGUGUAACGAAUGUGCUAAAAGUUUUAGGCGAUUAUAUCAUCUCAGAGAACACAUGAGAACACACACAGAAAAGACGUAUCUCAAUGCACAUGUAAAAAAUCAUACAGGAGAAGCUUUUUUCUUUUAAAAGAAAGUGAUAUAAGUUUUGUCAUGCAUCUUUUUCAAAAACAACGGAUGCAGGAGAAAAGCUGUUUACUGUCAAAAACAAAGUAUUUAUUGAAAAUUCAGUAAAACUCUGCAGAUGUUUUGUGCAGUAAAAGAAAACAAUGAUUUAUAUAUAUAUAUAUUAUGGUAAUUUACACAUAUUAUACAGAUAAUUUCUGUGGUUCAACCCUAAUCUCUGCCAAAUAACCUCAAAUCCUUCUAAAAAAAAUUCUUAGCUUUUGAAAAAAGUAAAUUCUAAAUCCUUUACUUUGCUGUGUCGAGAUGCUGAUUUUAUCUUCCAGCAGGACGUGGAAUCUUCCCACACUGCUAAAGGUACACGAAGCUGUUCCAAUGACCAUGAUGUCAUUGUGUUUGACCAGAUAGUAACGUUCCCUGAUCUGAAACCAGACCCAACAAUUUCAAUGACUUGAAGUCCACUAUUAGAGCAAACUGAGCUUUUAUUACACAUAACCACAUGCCACGACCCAUUGAUGCAUUUAUUUAAUUAGUGAGUAAUAAAUGCAUGGGAAAUGACAGUUUUCUGGUGUCUGACAAAUGUGCUUCAUUGUUCUUGUAUAUUCUAAUUUUCUAAAAUACAAAUGUUCAAGUUUUCAUCAAUUGUAUGUGACAAUCAUUAAACGCUUAAACAACAAAGCAUUGAUACAUUUCUAUCUCUGUGUAAGGAUUCUAUACAUAUGAUUUCAAUUUUUUCAUUGAGUGAUCAAAUAUGUUGUUAAUCAUAACAGUUAAAUAUUUAUCUCUCUUAUCACUUUAAAAUUACUAUUACUCUUUGUACUGGCAUUUUUAAGCAAUUUUGUUUUUUGAGAAUUUUCUAAAUAAUUUAAAAGCAAUCUUCAACUUUUAUUUGUUGAUUUUUAUUAGUAGAUCUCUUAUUUAUUUUUGUUUAUAGUUGAUCCUUGUGGUUGUAGCGUAUGCUGAGACAAUAUGUCAUCAAAGUCUGUUUCCACGACAACACUAGAAUUUCAUUCUUAUAGUUUUUGUGAUCGGUGAACAUGUAUUUAUUUAUUUUAAAGUAGUGACUACAAUUUGCGGGAUCAUGUUUGCAAAUAAUGACUUUACCCCAAUAUGUUGUAAAGAAGAGAUGAAUAAAGAAGCAGCGAGGUGUUUCUGUCUCAUUUA